UUUUAGUUCAAAGUUUUGUGAAAUUCUCUAUAAAAAAAAAUCUACACAAUUUGUACAUUGGCUUUGUGAAGUGGCAACACGAUCUCCGUCGGAGAAAUCAUUCUUAUGGUUGGAGCUCAACUUCAACCAAAACCAGUUUAUUUCCAAUCGAAAUGAGAAGAAGAAGACUAGAAGAAGAACAGAAGAAGGAGAAAGAAGAGGAAGAAAAGCAGAACACAACAAGAAGAAGACAGCAGCAGAGAAGAAGUAGAAGAAGAAAGAAAGCAGCAAGAAGAGGGUAGAACCAGAGAAGGAACAAGGAAGGGGAGAAGGGAAGAAAACGAUGCCUGCAAGCCAAAGCCUCAAUUUCGAUUCAUUCAACAGCCUUUUUCCAAGGCUUUCAAUACAACCUAUAUAGAAAAAAACAACCUUCAAAGUAAAAGGCUUAGGCUAGCCCACUAUACAAGCCCAAUUAAAUAAAAAUAAAACCAAAUGGUCCAAUUCAUGACAUUUCUUCCCCUUAAAUUAACCUUGUCCUCAAGGUUCAUCUUUACUUGCCACAAAGAAAACCUUGUAUUAUGAUCUAGUUAUGAAAUAUCAUACUUCAGAGCCCGAUUUAUCAACAAGUAUACAGCUCAACAGUCAUGGAGAUAUGAGUUUGUGUGAGAGAGAGACGGGUUUGGUCUUCCACAGGGCUUUCGAUGUGUGGGGAGAGACGUGUUUGGUCUCUCACAAAGCUCGAUGUAUGAAGAAAAGAUCAUUGAAGUUGUCCCACAUCGAUUGUGGAUGGGAUUGGUAUCCAGUUUAUAAGUGUGAGGAAAAGCCUCACCGCUUGAACUAGCUUUUGGGGUGAGAGAUACUCAAUAUUACCGAACGGAAACUACAAAAAGGGGAUAAGGUCCUGUAGCAGAAGAUGUGUUCAUUGGCAAGCCACAAUUAUGGGGCCUUCUGAUAGCCCUUAUGUUGGAGGUGUAUUUUUAGUUUCUAUUCAUUUUCCUUCUCAUUACCCUUUUAAGCCACCAAAGGUAUACUUCAACUCUUUGCUUUAAGAUUGUUACAUUUAACCAUUAUUCAGUUGUUGAUUCAUGGUGACAUGGCAUCAGCUGGUAGGAUGAUGUGGCAGAGUACUUCAAACGCUAAUUACUUUGUUGUUUUAGACCAAUGGAAAUGUGUAAUUCUUGCAAUCUGUCCUUAUAUCAUACUUGAAUAUGGCUUUGCUGACUUUUGGGUUGUUCAUUUGCUCUCAUUAAAUAUUUUUUAGAUCAUGUGAUAUUACUUUCCUACAGUUGUUUUCCCGUCCACAAAAAACUUUCAUUCUAAAUAUUUUGAUCAUUCAACACCACCUAAUAUUAAGUUAUUAUUUCUAAUUGCUUUUCAAGCUUAAGGUUUCGAUCUUUUUGUCAAUUUUUUUCCCUCCGAGUUAACUUGAAUAUUAUGUGGGAAACAGCAAGCCAAGCAACCUCUCUAGAAAUCCAUACAUGGAGGCGCAAACAAGCAUGAAGAAUUUCAAGUCUGACUCUGCAUUUUUAGGCAAGCGCGCUCGAGUUUCAGAUUGACGUGUAUUUUCAAUUUCUUUAUUUGUUGAGUGCAUAUUUUUUGGGGGAUAUUUAGCAGAAAUGCUAUCUAAAUUGAA
Long non-coding RNA from Olea europaea var. sylvestris, 1612 nucleotides. RefSeq lists it as uncharacterized. Lineage: Eukaryota; Viridiplantae; Streptophyta; Magnoliopsida; Lamiales; Oleaceae. The transcript has 3 exons. The record is from RefSeq and is a predicted model, not a curated record.